UGUUGCAGUGGCACAGGAUGCGGCUGCGCUGUGGUCGCAGCAGGUGCAGCCACUGUUUGAUCAGUACUGUGUGAA
This 75-nucleotide transfer RNA is filed under the name Planctomycetia bacterium. Its description in RNAcentral is "tRNA-His". The record is from RNAcentral. Lineage: Bacteria; Pseudomonadati; Planctomycetota; Planctomycetia.